CCUGCCAGUAGUCAUAUGCUUGUCUCAAAGAUUAAGCCAUGCAUGUCUAAGAAUAAGCCCUUUGAACGGCGAAUCUGCGAAUGGCUCAUUACAUCAGUGAUAGUUUAUUUGAUGGUACCUUUCGCCUUGAAAUACAGGCUGGGCUACUUGGAUAACCGUAGUAAUUCUAGAGCUAAUACAUGCUACACUAACGCCCUUUUUGUUAUAGUUUCGACUAUGACAGAAGGGGCAGCAUUUAUUAGAUUCAAACCAUCGGAGCAUUAAUUUGCUUGUUUCUCUUUUGUUAACUCAAGAGGGGAUUAGCGAUGGUGAGUCAUGAUAACUGAAGCGAAUCGGAAUGAAACAAAGCAAAAAGGACUUGCUUCUUUGAGCUUUUUCCGAUGCUUCAUUCAAAUUUCUGCCCUAUCAGCUUUGGAUGGUAGGAUUUUGGCCUACCAUGGCGAUCACGGGUGACGGAGAAUCAGGGUUCGAUUCCGGAGAGGGAGCUUGAGAAACGGCUACCACAUCCAAGGAUGGCAGCAGGCGCGCAAAUUACCCAAUCUCGAAACGAGGAGGUAGUGACAAUAGGUAACAAUGCUGGGCUGCUUUCAAUGCAGCACGGCAAUUGGAAUGAGAGUGCGACACAGAAAGGCAGUGUGAAAUUAACAUUGUUUAAACCCACAUUCGAGGAGCCAUUGGAGGGCAAGUCUGGUGCCAGCAGCCGCGGUAAUUCCAGCUCCAAUAGCGUAUAUUAAAGUUGUUGCAGUUAAAAAGCUCGUAGUCUGAUGGAUUGGCCAAGGUAUUUUGAGUCUUUUGCUUAACUAGAGGUUUUCAAUCUUUAGUCUAGCUAAAAGAUUUCAAGCGCCUUUACCGAAUUAGUACUUCUGUAUUGGUUUUUUAAUCAAAUCCGACACAGAUUGUUUACUUUGAGAAUCAAGACUAAAGCAUGACUUGAAUACAUUAGCAUGGGAUAAUAAAAUAGGACAUUGGUUCUGUGUUUCGACUCCGAUUUCAGAUUUUCCUAUUUACUUAGGAUUUAUCUGGUUCGAGGACCGAUGUAAUGGUCAACAGGGACUGUUGGGGACAUUCAUACUCCAUGGCUAGAGGUGAAAUUCUUGGAUUCAUGGAAGAUGAACUAGUGCGAAAGCAUUUGUCAAAGAUGUUUUCAUUGAUCAAGAACGAAAGUUAGGGGAGCAAAGACGAUCAGAUACCGUCGUAGUCUUAACCAUAAACGAUGCCGACUCUUGGGAUUGGGGG
RNAcentral lists this ribosomal RNA (1236 nucleotides) under uncultured soil eukaryote. RNAcentral's name for it is "SSU rRNA". It matches the Rfam family "Eukaryotic small subunit ribosomal RNA", at positions 13 to 1059 of the family's 1831-position model. The record is from RNAcentral.